Molecule: long non-coding RNA, 209 nt
Filed under: Elaeis guineensis (African oil palm)
Lineage: Eukaryota; Viridiplantae; Streptophyta; Magnoliopsida; Arecales; Arecaceae
Description: long non-coding RNA (EGUI_LNC064174)
Source: RNAcentral
AUCCGGUCUCUAAAUAAUUGGGCCUUCGACUUUGCUUAUGUUAGGACAAGGUUCUCCUCCUGUUCCUAAUAUGAUUGUGGGGGUGCAUUAGGACCGUUAUAAGGGCCUCUCCCCCCAUCCGGUCUCUAAAUAAUCAGACCUUCGACUUUGCUUGUGUUAGGAUGAGGUUCUCCUCUUGUUCCUAACAUGACUGUAGGAGCGCAUUAGGG